CCAUUUCCUCCGUGCUCGCAGG
This 22-nucleotide microRNA is filed under the name Ovis aries (sheep). Its description in RNAcentral is "miRNA 39-f". The record is from RNAcentral. Lineage: Eukaryota; Metazoa; Chordata; Mammalia; Artiodactyla; Bovidae.